GACGAACGCUGGCGGCGUGCCUAAUACAUGCAAGUCGAGCGAAGUUUUUCUGGUGCUUGCACUAGAAAAACUUAGCGGCGAACGGGUGAGUAACACGUAAAGAACCUGCCUCAUAGACUGGGACAACUAUUGGAAACGAUAGCUAAUACCGGAUAACAGCAUUAACUGCAUGGUUGAUGUUUGAAAGUUGGUUUUGCUAACACUAUGAGAUGGCUUUGCGGUGCAUUAGCUAGUUGGUGGGGUAAAGGCCUACCAAGGCGACGAUGCAUAGCCGACCUGAGAGGGUGAUCGGCCACACUGGGACUGAGACACGGCCCAGACUCCUACGGGAGGCAGCAGUAGGGAAUCUUCCGCAAUGGGCGAAAGCCUGACGGAGCAACGCCGCGUGAGUGAAGAAGAAUUUCGAGUUCGUAAAGC
This 417-nucleotide ribosomal RNA is filed under the name Gemella morbillorum. RNAcentral's name for it is "bacterial SSU rRNA". It matches the Rfam family "Bacterial small subunit ribosomal RNA", at positions 28 to 431 of the family's 1533-position model. Lineage: Bacteria; Bacillati; Bacillota; Bacilli; Caryophanales; Gemellaceae. The record is from RNAcentral.